CCGUCUUGAAACACGGACCAAGGAGUCUAACAUGUGCGCGAGUCAUUGGGUCACACUAAACCCAAAGGCGCAAUGAAAGUGAAGGCAGCCYCGGGUUUGCCUAGGUAGGAUCUUUUUUUCUCUUUUGAGAGAAGGCGCACUACCGGCCCGUCUCGUCCGCGUUGCGGUGAGGCGGAGCGAGAGCGCACACGUUGGGACCCGAAAGAUGGUGAACUAUGCCUGAGUAGGACGAAGCCAGAGGAAACUCUGGUGGAAGUCCGUAGCGAUU
Molecule: ribosomal RNA, 268 nt
Filed under: Mopalia swanii
Lineage: Eukaryota; Metazoa; Mollusca; Polyplacophora; Chitonida; Mopaliidae
Description: partial 28S ribosomal RNA
Rfam family: Eukaryotic large subunit ribosomal RNA
Source: RNAcentral